CAGGGUUUGUGGUUGCUACAUUUUAAUCACUUCAUUGAAAGAAAAAAAGAAAGAAAAAGAAAGAAAGAAAGAUCAAGAAAAGAAGAAAAGAAAAAGUUUACAUCACACGUCCGUGCAAGGGAUGCAGAAUUACUUAUUUUGUAAGUGCAACUCAAGAUUUAUUCUUUUUAUGAAACCUCCCAUGACCGCAGUCUGCAUUAAUCAUCAAGCAACCACUGUUUGUAGAACAACGAUGAUCAUGAUGCAGCAGUGACCUGAGGGGCAAGUUAGCUCUCUGCAUGGAGCUUGUAGUCUAAAGGGGAAUCCCACGGAAGAUGAAUCUCACUGAACGGGUAGAGAAAAGCAGAAUGACCAUAGAACUCUUGGUGGUUCACUUCAGUGGGUGCCCUGAGGGCAGGGUGCGGAACAGUCAAGCAUUUCUCAGCCUGGCACGUGGGUCAACCUCGAGGAAAGAAAUUCACAGUUGUUCUACUGGCUUCAGAGACAGAAAAUUCUGUUCAGCACAGAAAUGAGCAUAACAUGCAGAUGAGACCCUUUCCUGUGGUCCCUUGUCUUGGGAGUGAGUUUUCAGCUAAUGAGAAGUGAGAAGUAAUGAAGCUGGAAUAAGAACACAGUUACUGAACUUCAGAUGGUUGACAAGAUGGUAUUGCUGUUGGCCAACACAUCCUCCAGAUUUUGGCUUUUAAUAUAAA
Zalophus californianus (California sea lion) is the source of this 692-nucleotide long non-coding RNA. RefSeq lists it as uncharacterized. The transcript has 4 exons. Lineage: Eukaryota; Metazoa; Chordata; Mammalia; Carnivora; Otariidae. The record is from RefSeq and is a predicted model, not a curated record.